UACGGAGGGUGCAAGCGUUGUCCGGAAUUAUUGGGCGUAAAGCGCGCGCAGGCGGUCCUUUAAGUCUGAUGUGAAAGCCCACGGCUCAACCGUGGAGGGUCAUUGGAAACUGGGGGACUUGAGUACAGAAGAGAAGAGUGGAAUUCCACGUGUAGCGGUGAAAUGCGUAGAGAUGUGGAGGAACACCAGUGGCGAAGGCGACUCUUUGGUCUGUAACUGACGCUGAGGCGCGAAAGCGUGGGGAGCAAACAGG
This 253-nucleotide ribosomal RNA is filed under the name uncultured bacterium. RNAcentral's name for it is "partial 16S ribosomal RNA". It matches the Rfam family "Bacterial small subunit ribosomal RNA", at positions 524 to 776 of the family's 1533-position model. The record is from RNAcentral.